UAGCGGAGCGUGUGGUUUAAUUCGAGGCUACGCGAAGAACCUUACCUGGGUUUGACAUAGCGGUGGUAGGGAAGCGAAAGUGGACCGACCUUCGGGAGCCGUUACAGGUGCUGCAUGGCUGUCGUCAGCUCGUGUCGUGAGAUGUUCGGUUAAGUCCGAAAACGAGCGCAACCCCUGGUGCUAGUUACAAGUGUCUAGCGCGACUGCCCGUGACAAACGGGAGGAAGGUGGGGAUGACGUCAAGUCAGCAUGGCCUUUAUAUCCAGGGCUACACACACGCUACAAUGGCCGGUACAGCAGGUUGCCAAGCCGCGAGGCGGAGCCAAUCCAGCAAAGCCGGUCCCAGUUCGGAUUGUAGGCUGCAACUCGCCUGCAUGAAGUUGGAGUUGCUAGUAACCGCGA
RNAcentral lists this ribosomal RNA (402 nucleotides) under uncultured bacterium. Its description in RNAcentral is "bacterial SSU rRNA". It matches the Rfam family "Bacterial small subunit ribosomal RNA", at positions 930 to 1347 of the family's 1533-position model. The record is from RNAcentral.